Wasmannia auropunctata (little fire ant) is the source of this 1192-nucleotide long non-coding RNA. RefSeq lists it as uncharacterized. The transcript is spliced from 2 exons. The record is from RefSeq and is a predicted model, not a curated record. Lineage: Eukaryota; Metazoa; Arthropoda; Insecta; Hymenoptera; Formicidae.
UAUUCAAAAAAAUAUUGAAAGCAAUUUCUAUUUUAUGCAUAUUUACACACAUUCAUAUAAAAAAUGCUUAAUUACACGCAGCAAGCGCUUAUUGCGGAGUAAAAGCAAUGGGAAAAGAAUUAGUGAAAUUAAUUGCAGGCCACGUACAAAACGCGCGAAUUUUUUUACCGAUUAUUGCACUCUUUUUUUUCUCUGAUUUUAACAACGUCUAUUACUUUAACUGAUUUUUUGUCUUUUUUUGUUUGUAAUAAUAAUUCCUCUUUUUAAAUAAAAAGAAUCAGUUAUAUUAUAGUUUAAAUUAAAUAUUUUCUCAAUCGAUAUUUAAACUCUAUCACUAAUUGUCUAAAAAGAAGCCAUCAGUUGAAUUUUUUAAUUGUAAUUUACCUAAGUCUUUGAAAUUACUGAAUCUAAUAAAAUCCGAUUGUGUACUGAUAAUCCGAAUUAAUUAAUUUUAUAUUAACAAUUUUAAAUGGAGAUUUUAAUAAUCAAUUUUUAAAAGUUUUAACAAGAGAGAGGAAGAGACGUAGCUAAUACUGCUAUAAUAGUAGACUGUCGAGACAGUGCCAUGCGAUUAAUUAUUUCUCUCCUUCCACAAGCAGAUGUAGCAAGUGGCAAAUAAUUAAUUAACACACAUUUCUCUCACUUUUUGUCUCCUUCUCUCUAUUUCCCUUAUUUAUGCAUUUCAGUGCUGCAUAAAUAAUGUCGCAGUUACUGCAGUUAACUAAUCUCGGUGAAAUAAGGCCACGAAUUAUUCACAUUGGAAAAUCAGCUGCUUAUACCCGAAGAUUCGAAAUCGUUCUCCAAGAAAGUCCAGGUGCGGUGGUUAAAAAUACAUGACGGGUCGUGAGUUGGAUGACAAGCGUCAGUCGUUGCGGUGCCUAGCGAAUAAGCGGCAUGCAUAGACGACGACGGAUAUGUGCGUGCAUGAAGAUAAUAUAGACAGGAGGGAUAUUCGUGACGGGUCCGCGAGCAAUAUCGCGGUACCAAGGUAGCCCACGGCGAAUACGGCACGCAAGAGGCAUGAAGAAGAAGAGAAGAGUGUUAUCUACUCGUGAUAGGAAAAUUACAGGCUGGCUGGUGGCCCUCGGGCACGUCAUGAGUGAAUGUUGGAGGAGAGUCUAAGGGAGACAACGAAUACGACGACGACAACAACGAGACAACGAAAAAAAGGCUACGUUCGAGUACAACUUUU